RNAcentral lists this transfer RNA (77 nucleotides) under Clostridiaceae bacterium. RNAcentral's name for it is "tRNA-Asp". It matches the Rfam family "tRNA". Rfam says of the family: Transfer RNA (tRNA) molecules are approximately 80 nucleotides in length. Their secondary structure includes four short double-helical elements and three loops (D, anti-codon, and T loops). Further hydrogen bonds mediate the characteristic L-shaped molecular structure. tRNAs have two regions of fundamental functional importance: the anti-codon, which is responsible for specific mRNA codon recognition, and the 3' end, to which the tRNAs corresponding amino acid is attached (by aminoacyl-tRNA synthetases). tRNAs cope with the degeneracy of the genetic code in two manners: having more than one tRNA (with a specific anti-codon) for a particular amino acid; and 'wobble' base-pairing, i.e. permitting non-standard base-pairing at the 3rd anti-codon position. Lineage: Bacteria; Bacillati; Bacillota; Clostridia; Eubacteriales; Clostridiaceae. RNAcentral also lists the same sequence under 3 other names. The record is from RNAcentral.
GGCGCGGUAGUUCAGUUGGCUAGAAUGCCAGCCUGUCACGCUGGAGGUCGAGGGUUCGAGCCCCUUCCGCGUCGCCA